AAAGCGUGCGCAGGCGGUUCGGAAAGAAGGAUGUGAAAUCCCAGGGCUUAACCUUGGAACUGCAUUCUUAACUACCGGGCUAGAGUAUGUCAGAGGGGGGUGGAAUUCCGCGUGUAGCAGUGAAAUGCGUAGAUAUGCGGAGGAACACCGAUGGCGAAGGCAGCCCCCUGGGAUAAUACUGACGCUCAUGCACGAAAGCGUGGGGAGCAAACAGGAUUAGAUACCCUGGU
Molecule: ribosomal RNA, 230 nt
Filed under: uncultured bacterium
Lineage: Bacteria
Description: partial 16S ribosomal RNA
Rfam family: Bacterial small subunit ribosomal RNA
Source: RNAcentral